Molecule: ribosomal RNA, 1345 nt
Filed under: uncultured bacterium
Lineage: Bacteria
Description: bacterial SSU rRNA
Rfam family: Bacterial small subunit ribosomal RNA
Source: RNAcentral
GACGAACGCUGGCGGCGUGCUUAACACAUGCAAGUCGAACGAUGAAGCGGUGCUUGCACCGUGGAUUAGUGGCGAACGGGUGAGUAAUACGUGAGUGACCUACCUUUGACUCUGGGAUAAGCCUGGGAAACUGGGUCUAAUACCGGAUACGACCAAUCUCUGCAUGGGGUGUUGGUGGAAAGCGUUAUGGAGUGGUUUUAGAUGGGCUCACGGCCUAUCAGCUUGUUGGUGAGGUAAUGGCUUACCAAGGCGACGACGGGUAGCCGGCCUGAGAGGGUGACCGGCCACACUGGGACUGAGACACGGCCCAGACUCCUACGGGAGGCAGCAGCGGGGAAUAUUGCACAAUGGGCGCAAGCCUGAUGCAGCGACGCCGCGUGAGGGAUGACGGCCUUCGGGUUGUAAACCUCUGUUAGCAUCGAAGAAGCGAAAGUGACGGUAGGUGCAGAGAAAGCGCCGGCUAACUACGUGCCAGCAGCCGCGGUAAUACGUAGGGCGCGAGCGUUGUCCGGAAUUAUUGGGCGUAAAGAGCUUGUAGGCGGUUGGUCGCGUCUGCUGUGAAGGCCGGGGCUUAACUCCGGUUUUGCAGUGGGUACGGGCUAACUAGAGUGCAGUAGGGGAGACUGGAAUUCCUGGUGUAGCGGUGGAAUGCACAGAUAUCAGGAGGAACACCGAUGGCGAAGGCAGGUCUCUGGGCUGUAACUGACGCUGAGAAGCGAAAGCAUGGGGAGCGAACAGGAUUAGAUACCCUGGUAGUCCAUGCCGUAAACGUUGGGCACUAGGUGUGGGGGACAUUCCACGUUUUCCGCGCCGUAGCUAACGCAUUAAGUGCCCCGCCUGGGGAGUACGGCCGCAAGGCUAAAACUCAAAGGAAUUGACGGGGGCCCGCACAAGCGGCGGAGCAUGCGGAUUAAUUCGAUGCAACGCGAAGAACCUUACCAAGGCUUGACAUGCAUUAGAUCGCGUCAGAGAUGGCGUUUCCCUUCGGGGCUGGUGUACAGGUGGUGCAUGGUUGUCGUCAGCUCGUGUCGUGAGAUGUUGGGUUAAGUCCCGCAACGAGCGCAACCCUCGUUCUAUGUUGCCAGCGGUUCGGCCGGGGACUCAUAGGAGACUGCCGGGGUCAACUCGGAGGAAGGUGGGGAUGACAUCAAAUCAUCAUGCCCCUUAUGUCUUGGGCUUCACGCAUGCUACAAUGGCCGGUACAGAGGGUUGCGAUACUGUGAGGUGGAGCUAAUCCCUUAAAGCCGGUCUCAGUUCGGAUUGGGGUCUGCAACUCGACCCCAUGAAGUCGGAGUCGCUAGUAAUCGCAGAUCAGCAACGCUGCGGUGAAUACGUUCCCGGGCCU